RNAcentral lists this ribosomal RNA (1437 nucleotides) under uncultured Oscillospiraceae bacterium. RNAcentral's name for it is "bacterial SSU rRNA". It matches the Rfam family "Bacterial small subunit ribosomal RNA". The record is from RNAcentral. Lineage: Bacteria; Bacillati; Bacillota; Clostridia; Eubacteriales; Oscillospiraceae.
UAACACAUGCAAGUCGAACGGACCUAGCCCGGUAGUAAUAUUGGGCGACGGUUAGUGGCGAACGGGUGAGUAACGCGUGAGCAACCUGCCUUUCAGAGGGGGAUAACAACUGGAAACAGUUGCUAAUACCGCAUAAUGUAUUUAGAUGGCAUCAUUUGGAUACCAAAGGUUAAAUCCGCUGAGAGAUGGGCUCACGUCUGAUUAGCUAGAUGGUAGGGUAAGGGCCUACCAUGGCUGCGAUCAGUAGCCGGUCUGAGAGGAUGAACGGCCACAUUGGGACUGAGACACGGCUCAGACUCCUACGGGAGGCAGCAGUGGGGAAUAUUGGGCAAUGGGCGCAAGCCUGACCCAGCAACGCCGCGUGAAGGAAUAAGGCCUUCGGGUUGUAAACUUCUUUUAUUAGGGACGAAGGAUGUGACGGUACCUAAUGAAUAAGCCACGGCUAACUACGUGCCAGCAGCCGCGGUAAUACGUAGGUGGCAAGCGUUGUCCGGAUUUACUAGGUGUAAAGGGCGCGUAGGCGGGAAUGCAAGUCAGAUGUGAAAUCCAUGGGCUCAACCCAUGAACUGCAUUUGAAACUGUGUUUCUUGAGUGAUGGAGAGGCAGGCGGAAUUCCUAGUGUAGCGGUGAAAUGCGUAGAUAUUAGGAGGAACACCAGUGGCGAAGGCGGCCUGCUGGACAUCAACCGACGCCGAUGCGCGAAAGCGCGGGGAGCAAACAGGAUUAGAUACCCUGGUAGUCCGCGCCGUAAACGAUGAAUACUAGGUGUGGGGGGACUGACCCCUUCCGUGCCGGAGCAAACGCAAUAAGUAUUCCACCUGGGACUACGGUCGCAAGACUAAAACUCCAAAGGGAAAUUGACCGGGGGCCCCACCACCAAGCAGUGGAUUAUGUGGUUUAAAUUCGAAAGCAAACGCGAAAGAACCUUACCCGGGGUUUGACAUCCGACUAACGAAGCAGAGAUGCAUUAGGUGCCCUUCGGGGAAAGUCGAGACAGGUGGUGCAUGGUUGUCGUCGGCUCGUGUCGUGAGAUGUUGGGUUAAGUCCCGCAACGAGCGCAACCCUUGUUGUUAGUUGCUACGUAAGAGCACUCUAACGAGACUGCCGUUGACAAAACGGAGGAAGGUGGGGACGACGUCAAAUCAUCAUGCCCCUUAUAUCCCGGGCUACACACGUAAUACAAUGGCGUUUAACAACGGGAAGCGAAGGAGCGAUCCGGAGCGAAUCCCCAAAAGGCGUCUCAGUUCGGAUUGCAGGCUGCAACUCGCCUGCAUGAAGUAGGAAUUGCUAGUAGUCGCGGAUCAGCAUGCCGCGGUGAAUACGUUCCCGGGCCUUGUACACACCGCCCGUCACACCAUGAGAGUCGGGAACACCCGAAGUCGGUAGUUUAACCUGAUAAGGAGGGCGCCGCCGAAGGUGGGCUUGAUAAUUAGGGUG